CGUUCGUCCAGUGGUGAUUUGGCCGGUCGCUUGCAGCCACUUAAAAGAAAUAGCUAAAGACCGUUUGGGAACCGGC
RNAcentral lists this non-coding RNA (76 nucleotides) under Pelagibacterium sp. The record is from RNAcentral. Lineage: Bacteria; Pseudomonadati; Pseudomonadota; Alphaproteobacteria; Hyphomicrobiales; Devosiaceae.